AUGAGUCACCGAAUUCAGGCUGACACUGUCGGGGAUGAAGACGACCUACCAGGAUGCCUUGCUCGGGGACAACCACGAUGCGAGGAAAAACAACGCCGCCAGCAUCCUCACAAUCGAUGUGGAUCCAAGCUGGCUCCGGGAGACGAGACCCACGCCCACAUCGCCUCCAAGGACGCUAACGAUGACGACACAAUCAAGAUCUGCAAGCUCGCAUCCUCCAUGGCGCAACUUCUCAUCGAGCCCUACUACCCCUCCGUCGCUGUUGACCGGCCUGAGAGAUCAAGGAGGCGUACAGCAAGCCAAACUAGGCUCACCCCAUGGUCGCACCAAUGA
Molecule: ribosomal RNA, 333 nt
Filed under: Triticum aestivum (bread wheat)
Lineage: Eukaryota; Viridiplantae; Streptophyta; Magnoliopsida; Poales; Poaceae
Description: partial small subunit ribosomal RNA
Source: RNAcentral